CUCUUUUCUAAAUUUCUCCAUGGCAGAAGAAUAUUUUGUCACCUUGCCCAUUUUGGUCUAUUUUCAGCCUUUUCAUCAGCCAUGUCCAGGGGCUUGCACGUCUUAAUUCAAGUAAAAUUUUUUGCUUUUGGCUUAUAUCAGUUCCCAGAAGCAAUACUCUUCAAAUCUAUGUAUCAAAGAGAGUCAAAAAUCCCUGAUUCAAACCAAGGCUCCACUAUUUCGAGUAAGAUCUUAAAUCAAAUCUUCAAUACAAGACAAGCCUUGGUGCAUUCGAGCAAGUUUGACCUAUGUUUACUUCUAAUCGUCCCUUUAAGAUUUCCUUUUCUAACAAAGAGAUAUGCUUUUCGCUCUGUUCAAAAAAUAGCUAUGAGAUUCGUUCAUAGAGAUUUCUUACCGUUUGAAAAUCCUCGUCUUUAAGAAUCCCGCCCAAAAACAUCCCAAAGAACCUAGCUUGUAGCUAUAAAUACCAUCCUUGGGCUUCAUUUCAAAGAGGAGUGGAACAAUAUGUCACACCAGAAACCACUUUUUUUUUCUAAGAUUUUUGUUCUGGAUGUGUUCACACAAGUCGACUAUUGAGUAUAGAUCUAUGACCCAAGUCCCAGUUUGCUGCACCCAAAAAAGGUUCUAGGCCAAAAGUUAUUGUUUUACUUCAUACAUUACAAAUUUGGACUUGUGCUUGUACAACUGGAUAGUAGAAAACCAUGCCAUAAGUCUUCAUUUUUUUAUCCAAGAAACUGAAUACAAAGGUUGUCAUAUUUGUUGGGAUAUUUUUGUGUGUUGAGAAGCCAUGCGGUAGUUUUGGCCAUCUGUCAUUGAAUGUCCAAGGGAUAAGAAGAGUCAUCAUAUUGAAUCUAUAGCUUAAUGCUUUAAUGGCAUGGGUUAAAAUGUAUGAAACACUGCUCUUGGAAUUCUCUUACGUUUAAUUAUAUUUGGAUUUGUGAAAUCUGCAUUAACAGGUAGUUGCAUUGUUUUCUAGUUUAAUAUCGAGUCCUAAAUUGAAGCGUGUUAGCUACAGCACUAUAAACAGCCUUUCCACAAUUAACUGAAUGAAUUGUAGAUAUUACAUAGGUCCAUGUAAAUUUAUGCUUUCAAUGUCUAAGAAGUCUUAGUGAAUGUCACCAGUUUAACGAUAAACAUGAGUUGCUUGGGUUUAGUCUAAACUAGGUAACGUGAGAUGUUUAUCUACUGUCUUGGGAUGCACUUGAAUAUAUUAGCCAACAGAUUUUUUUUUUAAUCAUCACAUAGUUAUAGAAGAACGUAUGUGUUCAUAAGGUAUUCACAUGACUUUUAUAAUUUGAUUCAGUCCACUUUCUGCUUACUGUUAAGGUGUUUAUAUGGGGGUUAGAAUUCAUAUGACUCUAUAUUUGCCUUAUCUAAUAGUUGCAUUUCUAAUUCCUACUGUCUUCCUUUUUUUUUUUUGUUACAUGUACACCACAGGAGCAAUUGGAGUCUUCAUAAGAAGACUCUCGCUGCCACUAGAAGUCCCAUCCUGAGACUCGGUAUCACCGCUAGAUUUUGAACCCGUGUUUGUCUUGCAUUCAGUUCUCUCCCUCUCUUGAAAACAUUUGACCAAAUGCAAGGAGAAGAGGGGACUACUGUUGCAUUUUUUGCUCGUCUUAAGUUUACUAACCAUUUUGUUUUCUUAUUUGUGAAUGUUUAUUUGAUUCGCUUAUGGUUAUCGACCCUAGAACACCUAGAUUUAGAGGGGUAGUUGACAUAAGCUAGAAGCUCUUAGUUAACCUUUUUUUUUUCUUCUUAUUUUUGAGUUACUUAUAAUACCUAUAACGUUUUCUUUGAAACAUUUAAGUCUAUACUUGUGACUUCUUUUUCUUAUCACUGUAAGCUUUGCAAGAGAGAGAUGUGAAUCAAGUUUUGACCAGAGAACUGAUUUUCAGAACUUGAGCAUAUUUCUUUGAAUUAAGAGGACAAACUUUCCUUUAUGAUUAAAAGAUGAAACUUCAUCUGAUAAGCAAA
This is a long non-coding RNA of Lycium ferocissimum, 1974 nucleotides long. RefSeq lists it as uncharacterized. The record is from RefSeq and is a predicted model, not a curated record. NCBI's taxonomy places the organism in Eukaryota, Viridiplantae, Streptophyta, Magnoliopsida, Solanales, Solanaceae. The transcript has 2 exons.